UCAUACAUCUUCUUGUAUUUGGAUUCCACGUCAGAGCUGAAACCACCUUCUAAAUCUUCUACGUACUUUUUUGAUCCUCUUGAGAUCACUCUUUCAGAAUUAUAAUCCUGAACGUAACGGAUCUUCCCAUAAAGUUUGACAUUAUCUGCUUUUGUUUUAUCAAGUUCUGAGGUCAGUGAUCCUAUCUUCUCCUUCAGCUGUCUAAUUUCCUCUUCAGUCUCCCGCAAACGGGUACGGAAACGGUCUCUUUGGUUGCAGAUCACCUUCAGCAUUGAGCUUUGAUCUUGGUCUGAGGAAACAUGCCUCUGCUCUUCAUUCUCUGAAGGCUCUGUUGCACCAGACUCUGAUAAAUCCCAAUCAUCAAAUCGAGUACCUUUUCUAUCUUUAGAAUUAUAUCCCUUUAGAAUAUCAUCUUCUAGCUUCUGUAUUAAUCUUUGUUGUUCAUUAACCUUGGCAGUCAGCUCUACAACCUUUGCUUCAGCUGAUUCCAGCAAAGAAAUCCUCUCAGAAAGUUGGACCUUUAAUUGUGUUAGCUCAUGCUCCACUUUUCGAUUCUUGUCAAGAAGUAACGACUCAAGUUUGCUCAUCUCUUGCCCACUGGUAGCAACUUCCCAAUCUUCAGCUUCAAUUGAAUUGUAACCCACAGCCUGUAAGAUCUUUACUUUCUUCCUCAAAUCAUCUAUCAGUUUUGUUGUAGGCCGUGUUUGAAGCUCCUUCUUUAGAUCUUCAAGAGCAACCUCCUUUUCAUUAAGAAGAGAAUUCAACUUCUUUAUCUCAUUAAUGUGUUCUUCUCGUUCAUUUGAUAAAGUGUUCUCCAACUUAUGAAGUUCCACAUUUAGUUCAGAGAUUAUCUUCUCUUUGGCAUACAGAGAAUUCUCAAAAGCACUAUCUGCAUCCAAAUUAUCACUGUUCUUGUGAUCAUUAUCUUCGUUUGCAGUCUGUAAUUGUGAGCGCAACAAUCCCUUUUCUCUUUCAAG
RNAcentral lists this unclassified non-coding RNA (977 nucleotides) under Hevea brasiliensis (rubber tree). The record is from RNAcentral. Lineage: Eukaryota; Viridiplantae; Streptophyta; Magnoliopsida; Malpighiales; Euphorbiaceae.